UUACAAAAGUAAUUUACACCGUCACUCAAAUUAUCACCCAAAAACAUCAUGGCUGAAGAGAAGAAACACCACUUUGGUGGUCUCUUCCACCACCACAAGGACAAGGAGGAAGACACCCCCGUCGAGAAAACUACCUAUGGUGAAACAACCUAUGGAGAUAGUGAAAAAACUAGCUCUGGUGGUGAUAAUACAUAUGGCGAAAAAACUAGUGCCUAUGGAGAUAAUACAUAUGGAGAAAAAACUAGCACCUAUGGAGAUAACACUACAUAUGGUGAGAAAACUAGUUAUGGUGAUAAUACAUAUGGUGAAAAAACUAGCACCUACGGAGGAGAUAACACGUAUGGAGGUGAGAAAACUAGUUAUAGUGAUAAUACAUAUGGCGAAAAACCUAGCACCUACGGAGGAGAUAACACGUAUGGAGGUGAGAAAACUAGCUAUGGUGGAGGAGAUACGUAUGGAGAUAACAAAUAUGGUGAGAAAACCAGCACCUAUGGUGAGAAUACAUAUGGAGAGAAAACUAGUUAUGGUGGAACUGAGGAAGGUGGCUAUGGUGGAGGAGCUGCUGCCUAUUCAUCUGAGACUACUAAUUAUGAAGACACCACUGAAACCAAAACUGCUGAGGAUUAUAAGGAAGAGAAAAAACACCACAAGCAUCUUGAACAUGUCGGAGAACUCGGUGCCGUUGCCGCUGGCGCCUUUGCUUUGGUAAAUAAUUUUCCUAACAAUUAAUACGCCUAUGAUAGUAUUUACUGUGUGAGCAAAAUAUCCUUAAGGACAUUACUUUUCUUGACACACCAUAACCUAAAUUCUAUGUAUUCUCCAUAUGUAGUAGUGAUUUUUGCAACAAAAAUUUGCAAGAUAUACUAAUCAUGCAUCUAAAAGAUCACUAGUACGUGUAAUUGCCUAUGAUAAGUGAAAUUAAUAAUUCAAGACAUGUAAUGGUGACCACAUUUUUAAUUACUUUAAUACGGCCGGGUCUAACUUUUCCUUUUGAUGAUCACUUAAUUUCUUCCAUUAAUCUUUUUGGUGUGAAUGAAUGUUUC
Molecule: long non-coding RNA, 1043 nt
Filed under: Capsicum annuum
Lineage: Eukaryota; Viridiplantae; Streptophyta; Magnoliopsida; Solanales; Solanaceae
Description: long non-coding RNA (CANN_LNC006448)
Source: RNAcentral